UACGGGGGGGGCAAGCGUUGUUCGGAAUUACUGGGCGUAAAGGGCUUGUAGGUGGCCAACUAAGUCCGACGUGAAAUCCCUAGGCUUAACCUAGGAACUGCGUCGGAUACUGGAUGGCUUGAAUCCGGGAGAGGGAUGCGGAAUUCCAGGUGUAGCGGUGAAAUGCGUAGAGAUGUGGAGGAACACCAAUGGCGAAGGCAGCUCGCUGGGACGGUACUGACGCUGAGACGCGAAAGCGUGGGGAGCAAACAGG
Molecule: ribosomal RNA, 253 nt
Filed under: uncultured bacterium
Lineage: Bacteria
Description: partial 16S ribosomal RNA
Rfam family: Bacterial small subunit ribosomal RNA
Source: RNAcentral